UACGUAGGGUGCGAGCGUUAAUCGGAAUUACUGGGCGUAAAGGGCGCGUAGGCGGCCUGCUAAGUCGAACGUGAAAUCCCUGGGCUCAACCCAGGAACUGCGUCCGAUACUGGUUGGCUUGACUCCGGGAGAGGGAUGUGGAAUUCCAGGUGUAGCGGUGAAAUGCGUAGAUAUCUGGAAGAACACCAGUGGCGAAGGCGGCUCUCUGGGACGGUACUGACGCUGAGACGCGAAAGCGUGGGGAGCAAACAGG
Molecule: ribosomal RNA, 253 nt
Filed under: uncultured bacterium
Lineage: Bacteria
Description: partial 16S ribosomal RNA
Rfam family: Bacterial small subunit ribosomal RNA
Source: RNAcentral